UGGGGAAUAUUGCACAAUGGGGGAAACCCUGAGGCAGCGACGCCGCGUGAACGAAGAAGGUAUUCGUAUCGUAAAGUUCUGUCCUAUGGGAAGAUAAUGACAGUACCAUAGAAGAAAGCUCCGGCUAAAGACGUGCCAGCAGCCGCGGUAAUACGUAUGGAGCGAGCGUUGUCCGGAAUUAUUGGGCGUAAAGGGUACGCAGGCGGUUUAAUAAGUCGAAUGUUAAAGAUCGGGGCUCAACCCCGUAAAGCAUUGGAAACUGAUAAACUUGAGUAGUGGAGAGGAAAGUGGAAUUCCUAGUGUAGUGGUGAAAUACGUAGAUAUUAGGAGGAAUACCAGUAGCGAACGCCACUUUCUGGACACAAACUGACGCUGAGGUACGAAAGCGUGGGGAGCAAACAGG
RNAcentral lists this ribosomal RNA (403 nucleotides) under Bacteroidota bacterium. Its description in RNAcentral is "Bacteroidetes bacterium partial 16S ribosomal RNA". It matches the Rfam family "Bacterial small subunit ribosomal RNA", at positions 355 to 776 of the family's 1533-position model. The record is from RNAcentral. Lineage: Bacteria; Pseudomonadati; Bacteroidota.